This is a long non-coding RNA of Phacochoerus africanus (Common warthog), 593 nucleotides long. RefSeq lists it as uncharacterized. The record is from RefSeq and is a predicted model, not a curated record. Lineage: Eukaryota; Metazoa; Chordata; Mammalia; Artiodactyla; Suidae. The transcript is spliced from 3 exons.
GGAAUCUUCAACACACCUCUAGGAGUAGGUAGGGAAGUGAAAACAUUUAGAGAUUAGGUGGGACUUUUUUUUCUUUCUCUUCUUCUAGUUUAUGGACAUGACUGCAAAAAAGAAAAGAGGUAAUAACUGGGUACAUAGAAGGCAUCCAAAAGAAAGAAUUUAUCUUCUGGAUCAUGAUGGGAAUGUCCGGAAGAUGGACUACUGAAAGUGGAAAAGGUCACUGGACCAAAGUGGAGAACGGAGAACAUACUUAAGAAGGAUAAGUGGAUGAAGGGGGAGGGAGAAAAAUCAAGACCAACUACCAAGAAGAUGCAGUGGCACUGGGUUGCCCAUCUUCCGACCACAGCAAGUGGCAAGGAUCAGUAUGUCACCCCUUCCAUGAAGCCUUGAUCCCCAAGCUUGUCCCCAUGUCUGGAGGGGCUCUAAGUCGCAACACAGAGAAUCUUGGAUGAUUAUAGGUUCACGUCUAGAAAUUUCCCACCUCACCCUAAAUAUCGAGGGAUUAUGGAUCUGGACUGGUGCCUUAAUUUGGUGAAAAAAAAUAAAAUCUAUUUCUAAAAAGGUACCUAAAAGUGCUUCAAGCUCUCACUGUU